Non-coding RNA from Volvox carteri f. nagariensis, 45 nucleotides. Lineage: Eukaryota; Viridiplantae; Chlorophyta; Chlorophyceae; Chlamydomonadales; Volvocaceae. The record is from Rfam.
AAAUCGGUGUUUUUUAACACCACCAUGUUGAAUUACAAGAAUCGA